Molecule: long non-coding RNA, 581 nt
Organism: Hermetia illucens (black soldier fly)
Lineage: Eukaryota; Metazoa; Arthropoda; Insecta; Diptera; Stratiomyidae
Exons: 3
Source: RefSeq, a predicted model, not a curated record
UAUUCAUCAAGCCAUAUCAUUUUAUCAUUAAUCGUUUCACUUUUACGUGUCGAAAUUGUGAAAAAAUAUUAUCGAAAUUUCCACUCAGUUGUAAAUACGUAAGGUAAAUUUCGUUGUGAUCUCUAUCGUCAUCAUGGUUUCAGUGCGCAGGCAAUUCGCCGCAUCGAAAGGUUGAGUUCGAACACGUUUUUUUGGACUUUCCGACAGACAGCAAAGAUCGGUACGAAAUGAUGAAAACACAGCCGCCAGUAUCGAGGUGGAAAAUUACUCGUACAAGAAACUUCAGUUAUUUUAAAAGUACGCUCCUAGUUGGAAUUCCACCUCACGGUUGAAAGCGAGGAUACUUGAAUGCUAUGUAUACAGUGCCCGUGAAAAUGGCAAAACACUCUCCUUUUUCAAGAAAUUCUCCUGAGUAGUUUGCUGAGCCUUUCUGGUAUAAUGCAGAGAGUGAUUAGGAACAAGUCCAAAACCGGAAGCUCGGCGUUUCAGUAUGCUUCUUCCAGUGGCGUGGUGUGGGUUUAGCGAAAAAGCCGGCAAUGCUUUAAUUUAUAGAGCUGAGCCCACGUGUUCUCAUACCAAAG